UGGGGAAUUUUCCGCAAUGGGCGAAAGCCUGAUCCAGCAAUGCCGCGUGGGUGAAGACGGCCUGCGGGUUGUAAAGCCCUUUUCGUGGGGACGAAAGCCCUGGGGUGAACAGGCUCAGGGGGUGACGGUACCCGCGGAAGAAGUACCGGCCAACUCCGUGCCAGCAGCCGCGGUAAGACGGAGGGUGCAAGCGUUAAUCGGAAUUACUGGGCGUAAAGCGCACGUAGGCGGUGGUGUCAGUCCGUUGUGAAAGCCCCGGGCUUAACCUGGGAAUGGCAAGGGCGACGGCAGCACUGGAGUGUAACAGAGGACCGUGGAAUUCCCGGUGUAGCGGUGAAAUGCGUAGAGAUCGGGAAGAACACCGAUGGCGAAGGCAGCGGUCUGGGUUAACACUGACGCUGAGGGGCGACAGCGUGGGGAGCAAACAGGAUUAGAUACCCUGGUAGUCCACGCCGUAAACGAUGAGAACUAGACGCUGGGCAGGUCACUGCUCGGUGUCGCAGCUAACGCGUGAAGUUCUCCGCCUGGGGAGUACGGCCGCAAGGUUG
This 548-nucleotide ribosomal RNA is filed under the name uncultured bacterium. Its description in RNAcentral is "bacterial SSU rRNA". It matches the Rfam family "Bacterial small subunit ribosomal RNA", at positions 355 to 896 of the family's 1533-position model. The record is from RNAcentral.